AUGAUUAACAGCGUGAUUUUUAACGUUUGUUUUAGGCCCUGGCAAAAUCUUGGACCAUCUGAGUCUUUGAAAUUGGCUGUACCUUUUCUCAUGUCAAGGAUUACCAAAAACCUCCAAAGGAUGCUUGUACUCAGUGAUUUUCCUAAACAACUUUAUGAAAAAUUCAUUGGCUUUUUCCAGACAAUUCCUCUUCCCCCUUAUUGUUUUAAGUUCACAAAUUGCCUGAAUGUUCCAUCAUGGGAUCACAGAUUACUAACUACGGUUUUAAAAGGCCAGAACAUUACUGGUGAACAAAAAAAGAAUGGAAAGAAGGAAUUCCUCUGGGAAGUUCUUAAUGUGAUAAAGGCUAGAACUGAAAAAAUGGAAAGUAUGGGACGGUAAGUGCCUAACCAUUCUUUAUAUCUAUGGGGAUUAACUCCUAAGUUGUGUGUCACUUAGGAAAUACAGUGUUUUAUUUAGAGAGGAUAGAUUGCAAAUCUAAGAAAUAAAUAAAAGUGAGGUACUAUUUAAGCAAAUGAAAUCUUAUUUUAUUGUUUCUUUUCUCUUCUGCCUCCAACUCAUUCUAGAAUUAAAUCAUUUGUGUUCUGCUGAGAAUAAAAUCUCACCGAGAAAGACAUUGAUUUCUUGAUGUAUUUUCUUCUAUUGUUUAAAAGCAGUAAAAGAGUGUAUGAAUUCCAUCAUGUGCCUUGUUUUAAAAUGUUCCUUUACUAUAUAGUACUUUGUGUUCAGAUUGUCAAGGGAUAUAAAAAUUGUACAGUAGUGAUGCUAAUAGCAAAGUCGACUAAAUUUAGGAUUAGCCGAACUAAAUAAGGAUUAAUUGGAUUUGCAGGAAGAAAAAAACAAUAUUCAGAGAAAAUUAAUAGGCAUUUAUAUGACAUAGGAAAUUCAGAUUCUGAAAGAAGUGAUUGCAAUAGGCUAGAGUGGGGUCCUCAAACUUUUUAAAUAGGGGGCCAGUUCACUGUCCCUCAGACUGUUGGAGGGCUGGACCAUAGUAAAAACAAAAACUUUGUUUUGUGGGCCUUUAAAUAAAGAAACUUCAUAGCCCUGGGUGAGGAGGAUAAUCGUCCUCAGCUGCCACAUCUGGCCCGCAACCGUAGUUUGAGGACCCCUGGGCUAGACCCUUUUGGGGGAAGGAGUCUCAUGGAUGACCCCCAUUUAUAGUUUUCAAAUCAUUAUUUUAGUAAUCAAAGGAAUUUCAUUUGGAGGCUAAUUAAAACUAAGGUAUUAACUUUUCCCAUUCAAUUUCAUGGAUCCCUGAAAUCAGUCUUUGGACCCUAAGUUAGGAACCCCUGUUCUAAUGAGAAUUUGUACUGAAAUAAGAGGUAGUCUGCCUAAAGGAGCUCCCCUAAAGUUAGUAAAGACCUAAUAAGCCAGUUUUUACAUUCUGUCAUUCAUCUCUAGUUUUUGUUGUCAUCACUCAAGAAGGAGUUCUUCAAAUAUAUUUCCUUUCCCUAUUUUUUGUUUUCUACAUUGUGAGUCCCUAAAAUCUUCCUUUUGCUUCUUCCCACCCACAACAGCCUUCAUUUAUCUCAGUUCAUCAUAGUUUUUUAACAUUUUAAAAAUGUUGAAUUUAUUUAUUUAUUUAUUUAUUUUAUAGCCUUUUAUUUACAGGUUAUAUGUAUGGGUAACUUUACAGCAUUAACAAUCGCCAAACCUCUUGUUCCAAUUUUUCACCUCUUACCCCCCACCCCCUCCCCCAGAUAGCAGGAUGACCAGUAGAUGUUAAAUAUAUUAAAAUAUAAAUUAAAUACACAAUAAGUAUACAUGACCAAACUGUUAUUUUGCUGUACAAAAAGAAUCAGACUUGAAAUAUUGUACAAUUAGCUUGUGAAGGAAAUCAAAAAUGCAGGUGGGCAUAAAUAUAGGGAUUGGAAAUUCAAUGUAAUGGUUUUUAGUCAUCUCCCAGAGUUCUUUCUCUGGGCAUAGCUAGUUCAGUUCAUUACUGCUCCAUUAGAAAUGAUUUGGUUGAUCUCGUUGCUGAGGAUGGCCAG
RNAcentral lists this long non-coding RNA (1991 nucleotides) under Sarcophilus harrisii (Tasmanian devil). Its description in RNAcentral is "lncRNA (ENSSHAG00000029663.1)". Lineage: Eukaryota; Metazoa; Chordata; Mammalia; Dasyuromorphia; Dasyuridae. The record is from RNAcentral.